UCGAUGAUUGCUAAUCCUUUUCUAAAGGUGUCGGAUUUUUGACAAGUCGAUCUCAUUUCUCCCUGGAAAUGUCGAUGUUGCCUAAAAAUGUCGAUCUCACCUUUUUCUGAGGAAGUCGAUGACUGCUGAUCCUUUUCUAAAGGUGUCGGAUUUUUGACAAGUCGAUCUCAUUUCUCCCUGGAAAUGUCGAUGUUGCCCCAAAAUGUCGAUCCCACCUUUUUCUGAGGAUGUCGAUUAGAGUGGUGUGAAAUGUCGAUCCUGACCUUCUCUUUUGAAGGUUUCGAAUUCCUUGCCAAAUGUCGACGCCUAUCCCCUUUUCCUGGGAAUGUCGAACAUGCUUUCCUGCGGAAUGUCGAUCCUGACCUUCUCUUUUGAAGGCAUCGAAUUCCUUGGUAAAUGUCGACGCCUAUUCCCCUUUUCCUGGGAAUGUCGAACAUGCUUUUCUGUGGAAAGUCGAUCCUGGCCUUCUCUUUUGAAGGCAUCGAAUUUCUUGGUAAAUGUCGACGCCUAUUCCCCUUUUCCUGGGAAUGUCGAACAUGCUUUUCUGUGGAAAUGUCGAUCCUGCCCUUCUCUUUUGAAGGUAUCGACUUCCUUGCCAAAUGUCGACGCCUAUCCCUUUUUCUGAGAAUGUCGAACUCAAUUUUCUGCGGGAUGUCGAUGGUUUUUCUGAAAUGUCGAUGGAUCUUCUUGAAAUGUCGAUGCCAUCUAGUCGGAUUUUAGGGUUUUCCACGGACUGGGCCGUCGUGGGCCUGCCGGGCCUGUGGACUUCCUGGUCCAACGGGUCGACCCGGAUGAACAGUGCCCGCGACGGUUCGUCUUCGACUUUCCCCUAUAAAUAGCGGAUGGAGUUCAUUUGUUUUCUCACUCGUUUUCUUCGCUCCGACCGAUCGACUUUCUCGCAUCGACUUUCAGGCUCCUUCUCUUCGACUUCCUGCUUCUUCCGCUUCGACUUCCAGCGUGCGUGAGGCUUCGACUUUAGCCUUGGAGGUGCAGCUUUCUGGAGUCCGACUUUUGUUAUCGGGCUCUACUG
RNAcentral lists this long non-coding RNA (1030 nucleotides) under Zostera marina. RNAcentral describes it as "long non-coding RNA (ZMAR_LNC005024)". Lineage: Eukaryota; Viridiplantae; Streptophyta; Magnoliopsida; Alismatales; Zosteraceae. The record is from RNAcentral.